GGUCUGCAUUUCUAUCAGAAUCAUGACAGGUAAAUUUUCCAGAUUGCAAAAGAAGUAUACAGCUGCUGCUACAAGCCUUAUCUACUCUUGGUGGGGGAGUAAAACACUGGCAGAAGAGAUCCAGCCUGUCCUGCAACUGUUCUAUUAUUUCCCUUUCCUAUCUCUGAACUAGAGAGGCAAUCUCAGAAUGGAGAAAUAAUGAAAGGAGUUGGAAGAAACAUUUUUCAGACUUCAAGAUGAUGGCAAAAGUGUGUGCCCGCAAAACAGAAUGCUUCAUUCAAGUUUGAUCUGAGUUUUUGUGACGAGUAAGUCACUUAGCUCUCCGUGCUUCACUUUUCUUCUUCUACUCUAGGAAUAAUGGCAAUUCCCUCCCCCUGGGGGCAUGAUGUGAUGACUGAUAGACCUAAAGAUAGCCAGGUGUUGAGUAAUUUGAAAAAGUGCUAUAAACACAGGGGACAGACUGAAUGAUAGGACCAAGAAACCCCUAGGUGGGCUCCAGGCACUAUGCAGUAGUUAGUGCCUCAUACCUCAUGUCCCAGGCUAAACAAACUUGGUGGCCCAUAAAACUUAAAACCUCCCAUAUUUACUCUUACCCUUGCAGGUAGGUUUGGAGCCAUUCCAGGUCCGGUCUUUCGUGCAUGUUAGAGAGGAUGCCCUGUCUGACUCCAUCAUGUAGCCAGGCGUGCACUGGAACACCACCGUUUUAUUGUAGGUAAAAUCCCCACCCAGCCUAAUGCCGUUGUUAAAUAUAACCUUCGAGUUGCUGGGGGUCCCAGGGUUUCCACAGGAUAUAACUAGAAAGCAAAACGGCCGGGUUAAAAAAGCAAUCCCUGCAAAUGAAAAACAAGGCUGUUAUCCUGCAGCUGACUGUUUGACACAGAAGGCAGAUUAGCCGCAAAGCCACCGGAUCAAAUCGGACGGAGAAGGCUAUUCCGUGGGCAGCCAGCCACGUCGGUCCGACAGCAUCACCGCCACCGGGUACCCCCCGAGCAAUGGGUCCUGCAGCAUCCCUGCCUGGGGAGUGGGAAAACAGCAUCCCUGCAGGCAGUUGAUCCCGAAGCACCUGGACCCCUCUCCUGCUGGGUGGAUCCCACAGUUCAGAACCACAGCCAGGCCUCCU
Molecule: long non-coding RNA, 1120 nt
Filed under: Anas platyrhynchos (mallard)
Lineage: Eukaryota; Metazoa; Chordata; Aves; Anseriformes; Anatidae
Description: lncRNA (ENSAPLG00020003093.1)
Source: RNAcentral